AUGAACGCUGGCGGCGUGCCUAAUCCAUGCAAGUCGAGCGAACAGACGAGGAGCUUGCUCCUCUGACGUUAGCGGCGGACGGGUGAGUAACACGUGGAUAACCUACCUAUAAGACUGGGAUAACUUCGGGAAACCGGAGCUAAUACCGGAUAAUAUAUUGAACCGCAUGGUUCAAUAGUGAAAGACGGUUUUGCUGUCACUUAUAGAUGGAUCCGCGCCGCAUUAGCUAGUUGGUAAGGUAACGGCUUACCAAGGCGACGAUGCGUAGCCGACCUGAGAGGGUGAUCGGCCACACUGGAACUGAGACACGGUCCAGACUCCUACGGGAGGCAGCAGUAGGGAAUCUUCCGCAAAGGGCGAAAGCCUGACGGAGCAACGCCGCGUGAGUGAUGAAGGUCUUCGGAUCGUAAAACUCUGUUAUUAGGGAAGAACAAAUGUGUAAGUAACUAUGCACGUCUUGACGGUACCUAAUCAGAAAGCCACGGCUAACUACGUG
Molecule: ribosomal RNA, 496 nt
Filed under: uncultured bacterium
Lineage: Bacteria
Description: partial 16S ribosomal RNA
Rfam family: Bacterial small subunit ribosomal RNA
Source: RNAcentral